RNAcentral lists this ribosomal RNA (475 nucleotides) under uncultured Gammaproteobacteria bacterium. RNAcentral's name for it is "bacterial SSU rRNA". It matches the Rfam family "Bacterial small subunit ribosomal RNA", at positions 8 to 474 of the family's 1533-position model. The record is from RNAcentral. Lineage: Bacteria; Pseudomonadati; Pseudomonadota; Gammaproteobacteria.
AGAGUUUGAUCAUGGCUCAGAUUGAACGCUGGCGGCAUGCCUAACACAUGCAAGUCGAACGGAAACGAUGGGAGCUUGCUCCCAGGCGUCGAGUGGCGGACGGGUGAGUAAUACUUAGGAAUCUACCCAGUAGCGGGGGACAACUCGGGGAAACUCGAGCUAAUACCGCAUACGCUCUACGGAGGAAAGCAGGGGAUCUUCGGACCUUGCACUAUUGGAUGAGCCUAAGUCGGAUUAGCUUGUUGGUGAGGUAAAGGCUCACCAAGGCGACGAUCCGUAGCUGGUCUGAGAGGACGAUCAGCCACACUGGGACUGAGACACGGCCCAGACUCCUACGGGAGGCAGCAGUGGGGAAUAUUGGACAAUGGGGGCAACCCUGAUCCAGCAAUGCCGCGUGUGUGAAGAAGGCCUGCGGGUUGUAAAGCACUUUCAGUAGAGAAGAAAAGCCUAGGGUUAAUACCCCUGAGUCGGGACG